AGCUCUUUUGCCAGUUCAUAUUUGUUUUAAAUAAACUUACCUUCAAAUAUGGGCUUUAAUUUAAUUUAAUCUAGAAAGAUUGUUUUGUUCCAGCCAAGCCGAAACAAUCUCUAUCGGCUUUCCUACAAAAAAUCUCUUUAUGUCCAACAAGCAGUGCUUUACAAUUGUGUUUGAUAAACCACAUGCAAGAAGCAAUUUUUUUAUUUUCCCCGCCCCUCUACCUCCAGGAUAAGACCGUCUUAAACAAUCCCCCACCCUCGGGCACGAAGGGCUGGACUUGUUCCGGGAGUUGCCCGGGGGGGGAUGAUAAUAGGUGGAAAUGAACGACGCAAAAAGUACAAGUAACAGUAAAUAGUAGGAGGUGUAAAAGUGAGUGGAGUCCAGAGAAAGCAUAGCUUGUAUUAUGAAAUAGGGACAGGGACUCCACGCUUGCUCCAGGAAGAUGAGCUCUCUUACAUCAUCAGACUGUGGUUUUUAAAUUUUUUAAAUCUUCUUUUAUCCCUUACCCAUCCCCGGGUCCAGUACAAAUAUCUUCUCUCAAUCAUCGCCCUUGAGCGUAGCGAGAGGCUGAUCUUUGAUCAGCGACGAAGUCGCGAACCCAAGCGAAACUAACAAAAUGGAAAUAUAAUUGGAGAGGACGUUUGAAAAGUCUAGUAGUUUUCUAGAACACGAAAAUUUCCAAGAGCAGCUAUGGGCUAUGGCCUGAGACGUAAACGGUUAAUUGUGUGUUUACGAAACGCUAAUUAGUAAUAAAGGAUAAACUAAGCGUGUACUUCAAGAGACAGUUUAAACAUCAACAUAGAUUGUUGUUUUAGAAGUAUGAAUAUACAGUGGAACUCCGUUAAUACAGUCACCAACAAGCCAUGAAAAUAUAGCCGUUUUAACAGGGUGGCCGUUUUAUUAAACGGCCGGGUAGUGUCAAAUUUUUGAUUGGUCUUAAUAGAGUGACAUCUUAACAGAUAUAUUACUAUUACACAUCUAAACAACUGUUCUUUAAGAAGCUCCCAAAAUGCAGGUAUAAUUAAAAAGAAAGAUUGAAGAUUUAAUCAGUUCAUGCAAUAUUAACCAUGGAAAUACGAAAAUAACUGGUUUGAGUGGCCGUAUUAGUUUCCACUCUAAGUAUUCCAGACUGCUCGCAAUGAACGCAUGUAUGCAUUGCGUACCUAUUCUUCAUUCAUGAGCUGGGGAAGCGGGAAAAUUUGCAUUUUGUCAACACCGCUUGUGGAACAGCUUCUGCGUCGGGUCCCUUGGUCGUUGACAAGGGAAAGCGCCUCGAACUGCUGAAUACGGAACUGGAAAUUUGCACUAACAUGCGAAGUACAUGAUGGUCAGAAACGGAAUUUCUUCGCAACUUAAGUCAAAUGUAGUCAACAAGAUGGAUUUAAGUUGAGAAUUUAAGCACACCAAGAAAAUUGAAUCAGGCAUGCUGAUGUCCGUGGUUCGCUUCUUUACAAGCAGCUUUUUAACUACUUGACAAACAGUGCAACAAUAAUAUUGGAAAUUUUUUACUUUCAGGGCAAAGUAGUUUCUGGGAGAUUUCACUGACAAUGGAACAACUUCAUUCACCAUAGCACAAAGGUAAGUUGUGAUGUGCUUUUUCUUUUAUCAGUGUGAUGUAUUGCUCAGAACUGAGGAUCCAACAUUCCAAAGUAUUAAACCAUGAGAGAGCCACUUGCUUAAGAAGUUCCCUAAAAUGGGUGAGCUGAAAGAAAGAUGCUUCAGGCUUAAGGGUGCUUCCAGUAUGCAAGUCUUGUAACUUGAUAGAAAACAUGCAUGUAUGGAGCCCUAGUAGUGGCCUGUUAGUCCAAACCAGUUUGAUCACCCAUUGUGCACAGUUCUUGCAAAGUGAACAAUAAAGUCAUUUUACUCUCACAGUGCCUCUGUCCAACCAAAAGUAUAUUUGUGUACCAGCAAAUUGCAGG
Orbicella faveolata is the source of this 1922-nucleotide long non-coding RNA. The record is from RefSeq and is a predicted model, not a curated record. Lineage: Eukaryota; Metazoa; Cnidaria; Anthozoa; Scleractinia; Merulinidae.